RNAcentral lists this ribosomal RNA (440 nucleotides) under uncultured bacterium. RNAcentral describes it as "partial 16S ribosomal RNA". It matches the Rfam family "Bacterial small subunit ribosomal RNA", at positions 338 to 794 of the family's 1533-position model. The record is from RNAcentral.
CCUACGGGAGGCAGCAGUGAGGAAUCUUCCGCAAUGGGCGCAAGCCUGACGGAGCGACGCUGCGUGCGGGAAGAAGGCCUUCGGGUCGUAAACCGCUUUUUGGAAGGACGAUAAUGACGGUACUUCCAAGAAUAAGCAUCGGCUAACUACGUGCCAGCAGCCGCGGUAAUACGUAGGAUGCGAGCGUUAUCCGGAUUUACUGGGCGUAAAGCGUCUGUAGGUGGUUUUGUGCGUUGGAUGCCAAAUCUCUGUGCUUAACGCAGAGCCGGUGUCCAAUACGGCAAAACUUGAGGGAACUAGAGGGUGAUGGAAUUCCCGGUGUAGCGGUGAAAUGCGUUGAUAUCGGGAGGAACGCCAAUGGCGAAGGCAGUCACCUGGGGUUUUCCUGACACUGAGAGACGAAAGCGUGGGGAGCAAACAGGAUUAGAUACCCCUGUAGU